This 810-nucleotide ribosomal RNA is filed under the name Pseudoastrosphaeriella africana. RNAcentral describes it as "SSU rRNA". It matches the Rfam family "Eukaryotic small subunit ribosomal RNA", at positions 289 to 1103 of the family's 1831-position model. The record is from RNAcentral. Lineage: Eukaryota; Fungi; Ascomycota; Dothideomycetes; Pleosporales; Pseudoastrosphaeriellaceae.
GACGGGUCAUUCAAAUUUCUGCCCUAUCAACUUUCGAUGGUAAGGUCUUGGCUUACCAUGGUUUCAACGGGUAACGGGGAAUUAGGGUUCGAUUCCGGAGAGGGAGCCUGAGAAACGGCUACCACAUCCAAGGAAGGCAGCAGGCGCGCAAAUUACCCAAUCCCGACACGGGGAGGUAGUGACAAUAAAUACUGAUACAGGGCUCUUUUGGGUCUUGUAAUCGGAAUGAGUACAAUUUAAACCCCUUAACGAGGAACAAUUGGAGGGCAAGUCUGGUGCCAGCAGCCGCGGUAAUUCCAGCUCCAAUAGCGUAUAUUAAAGUUGUUGCAGUUAAAAAGCUCGUAGUUGAACCUUGGGCCUGGCUGGCCGGUCCGCCUCACCGCGUGCACUGGUCCGGCCGGGCCUUUCCUUCUGGAGAGCCGCAUGCCCUUCACUGGGCGUGUUGGGGAACCAGGACUUUUACUUUGAAAAAAUUAGAGUGUUCAAAGCAGGCCUUUGCUCGAAUACAUUAGCAUGGAAUAAUGGAAUAGGACGUGCGGUCCUAUUUUGUUGGUUUCUAGGACCGCCGUAAUGAUUAAUAGGGAUAGUCGGGGGCAUCAGUAUUCAAUUGUCAGAGGUGAAAUUCUUGGAUUUAUUGAAGACUAACUACUGCGAAAGCAUUUGCCAAGGAUGUUUUCAUUAAUCAGUGAACGAAAGUUAGGGGAUCGAAGACGAUCAGAUACCGUCGUAGUCUUAACCGUAAACUAUGCCGACUAGGGAUCGGGCGAUGUUUCUAUCUUGACUCGCUCGGCACCUUACGAGAAAUCAAAG